This 463-nucleotide ribosomal RNA is filed under the name uncultured bacterium. Its description in RNAcentral is "bacterial SSU rRNA". It matches the Rfam family "Bacterial small subunit ribosomal RNA", at positions 36 to 518 of the family's 1533-position model. The record is from RNAcentral.
CUGGCGGCGUGCUUCAUACAUGCAAGUCGAACGAGAAGCUGACUUCGGUCAGUGGAAAGUGGCGGACGGGUGAGUAAUAUGUAGGAAAUCUGCCCUAGAGAGGGGGACAACAGAGGGAAACUUCUGCUAAUACCCCAUAUGAGCUUAGUUGAAAUACUAAUCUUGAAAACUCCGGUGCUCUAGGAUGAGCCUGCAUCUGAUUAGCUAGUUGGCGGUGUAAUGGACCACCAAGGCGACGAUCAGUAGCUGGUUUGAGAGGAUGAUCAGCCACAAUGGGACUGAGACACGGCCCAUACUCCUACGGGAGGCAGCAGUAGGGAAUUUUGCGCAAUGGGCGAAAGCCUGAACCGCAGCAACGCCGCGUGAACGAUUAAGCCCUUCGGGGUGUAAAGUUCUGUCAGUGGGGACGAAACUUGACGGUACCCACAGAGGAAGCACCGGCUAACUCCGUGCCAGCAGCUGC